UAUCCGUAGGUGAACCUGCGGAAGGAUCAUUACAGAGUUCAUGCCCGAAAGGGUAGACCUCCCACCCUUGUGUAUUAUUACUUUGUUGCUUUGGCGAGCGCAAGCUCGCCAGAUAAUACCAAAACUCUUUUUAUUAAUGUCGUCUGAGUACUAUAUAAUAGUUAAAACUUUCAACAACGGAUCUCUUGGUUCUG
This 194-nucleotide unclassified non-coding RNA is filed under the name plant metagenome. RNAcentral's name for it is "partial contains small subunit ribosomal RNA, internal transcribed spacer 1, and 5.8S ribosomal RNA". The record is from RNAcentral.